AAGGCUUUAGCUUAAUUAAAGUGUUUGAGUUGCAUUCAAUUGAUGUUGGAUAAAAUCCUGCAAGCCUUA
This 69-nucleotide transfer RNA is filed under the name Xenopus laevis (African clawed frog). RNAcentral's name for it is "tRNA-Ala". It matches the Rfam family "tRNA". From Rfam's summary of the family: Transfer RNA (tRNA) molecules are approximately 80 nucleotides in length. Their secondary structure includes four short double-helical elements and three loops (D, anti-codon, and T loops). The record is from RNAcentral. Lineage: Eukaryota; Metazoa; Chordata; Amphibia; Anura; Pipidae. RNAcentral also lists the same sequence under 2 other names.